RNAcentral lists this microRNA precursor (86 nucleotides) under Paenarthrobacter ilicis. RNAcentral's name for it is "microRNA MIR1846". It matches the Rfam family "MIR1846 microRNA precursor family", at positions 1 to 86 of the family's 110-position model. The record is from RNAcentral. Lineage: Bacteria; Bacillati; Actinomycetota; Actinomycetes; Micrococcales; Micrococcaceae.
CUAAAGCGCCGAGAUCGCCGGAACGCGUCCAGACCGCCGGAACUCUCCGGCGAUCCUGCAGCGUUCCGGCGAUCCCGGCGAAAAGA